RNAcentral lists this ribosomal RNA (272 nucleotides) under uncultured bacterium. RNAcentral describes it as "partial 16S ribosomal RNA". It matches the Rfam family "Bacterial small subunit ribosomal RNA", at positions 88 to 354 of the family's 1533-position model. The record is from RNAcentral.
CCGGCGACCGGCGCACGGGUGAGUAACACGUAUGCAACCUGCCCGUGGCAGGGGGAUAAGCGGGGGAAACCCCGUCUAAUACCCGCGUAACGCGGCCUUGGGGCAUCCCAAGGCCGCCAAAGGGAGCAAUCCCGGCCACGGAUGGGCAUGCGGCGCAUUAGCUAGUUGGCGGGGCAACGGCCCACCAAGGCGACGAUGUCUAGGGGUUCGUGAGAGGAAGGUCCCCCACACUGGUACUGAGACACGGACCAGACUCCUACGGAAGGCAGCAG